UACGUAGGGUGCAAGCGUUGUCCGGAAUUAUUGGGCGUAAAGAGCUCGUAGGCGGCUUGUCGCGUCGAAUGUGAAAUCCUGCGGCUCAACUGCAGGCUUGCAUUCGAUACGGGCAGGCUCGAGUUCGGUAGGGGAGACUGGAAUUCCUGGUGUAGCGGUGAAAUGCGCAGAUAUCAGGAGGAACACCGGUGGCGAAGGCGGGUCUCUGGGCCGAUACUGACGCUGAGGAGCGAAAGCGUGGGGAGCGAACAGG
RNAcentral lists this ribosomal RNA (253 nucleotides) under uncultured bacterium. RNAcentral's name for it is "partial 16S ribosomal RNA". It matches the Rfam family "Bacterial small subunit ribosomal RNA", at positions 524 to 776 of the family's 1533-position model. The record is from RNAcentral.